RNAcentral lists this non-coding RNA (24 nucleotides) under Arabidopsis thaliana (thale cress). Lineage: Eukaryota; Viridiplantae; Streptophyta; Magnoliopsida; Brassicales; Brassicaceae. The record is from RNAcentral.
CCUAUCCUUGAAUAAACAGUUCCA